UGGGGAAUAUUGCACAAUGGGCGGAAGCCUGAUGCAGCGACGCCGCGUGGGGGAUGAAGGCCUUCGGGUUGUAAACUCCUUUCGACAGGGACGAAGCUUUUGUGACGGUACCUGUAUAAGAAGCACCGGCUAACUACGUGCCAGCAGCCGCGGUAAUACGUAGGGUGCGAGCGUUGUCCGGAAUUACUGGGCGUAAAGAGCUCGUAGGUGGUUUGUCGCGUCGUCUGUGAAAUUCCGGGGCUUAACUCCGGGCGUGCAGGCGAUACGGGCUGACUUGAGUGCUGUAGGGGAGACUGGAAUUCCUGGUGUAGCGGUGAAAUGCGCAGAUAUCAGGAGGAACACCGAUGGCGAAGGCAGGUCUCUGGGCAGUAACUGACGCUGAGGAGCGAAAGCAUGGGUAGCGAACAGGAUUAGAUACCCUGGUAGUCCAUGCCGUAAACGGUGGGCGCUAGGUGUAGGGGGCUUCCACGUCUUCUGUGCCGUAGCUAACGCAUUAAGCGCCCCGCCUGGGAGUACGGCCGCAAGCU
RNAcentral lists this ribosomal RNA (527 nucleotides) under uncultured bacterium. RNAcentral describes it as "bacterial SSU rRNA". It matches the Rfam family "Bacterial small subunit ribosomal RNA", at positions 355 to 894 of the family's 1533-position model. The record is from RNAcentral.